RNAcentral lists this ribosomal RNA (246 nucleotides) under uncultured bacterium. RNAcentral's name for it is "partial 16S ribosomal RNA". It matches the Rfam family "Bacterial small subunit ribosomal RNA", at positions 91 to 334 of the family's 1533-position model. The record is from RNAcentral.
UAGAGUGGCGUACGGGAGAGUAACACGUAAGUAAUCUACCCUUGGGUGGGGAAUAACUUAGGGAAACCUAAGCUAAUACCGCAUAAUGCAGCGGCCCCAUAAGGAGACAGUUGUUAAAGCAUUUAUGUGCCUAAGGAGGAGCUUGCGGCAGAUUAGCUAGUUGGUAAGGUAACGGCUUACCAAGGCGACGAUCUGUAGCCGGUCUAAGAGGACGGUCGGUCUCACUGACACUGAAUAACGGGUCAG